RNAcentral lists this non-coding RNA (220 nucleotides) under Atopostipes suicloacalis. Its description in RNAcentral is "T-box sequence". It matches the Rfam family "T-box leader". Rfam says of the family: Uncharged tRNA acts as the effector for transcription antitermination of genes in the T-box leader family. T-boxes are found upstream of many aminoacyl-tRNA synthetase genes and some amino acid biosynthetic genes usually in Gram-positive bacteria. The anticodon of a specific tRNA base pairs to a specifier sequence within the T-box motif, and the NCCA acceptor tail of the tRNA base pairs to a conserved bulge in the T-box antiterminator hairpin. Lineage: Bacteria; Bacillati; Bacillota; Bacilli; Lactobacillales; Carnobacteriaceae. The record is from RNAcentral.
UGAGAUCCAAAGACGGAAAAAGUAAUUUUAUUUAGACUAUUUACAGAGAAGGUUUUGUAGUUGAGAGAAACCAAUAGUGAAUAAAAUGAAAGACAUUCUUGAGGAUGACAGGAAAACUGUCACGUUAAAGGCGUUAACGAAGAGGGAAUAAAUUAUUUUAUUCCAAAUAAAGGUGGUACCACGUUACGUCACACUAAAUAUAAACUUACACGUCCUUAUU